CUUUCCAUUUUUAACCGGAUUUUUGUGACAAAAAUGUCGGUUAUUGAUUUGGGGAUGUACGGCUGGGCAGUCGGGCGGGCGGCAAUCAAAUGUUGUCCGUGCAUUAACUCAUGAACCGUUCAACCAAAGCUUUUAAAAUUUUAAUAUGUUGUUACUGACAACUAAAUGAAGGUCAAGUUCAAUAAUGGCGAUUUUGACUUUUACCGUUCAGGAGUUAUGGUUCUUGAAAGAUUGAAAAAUGGAGUUUCUAGUCGUGUCCGUUCAUUUACACAUGAACUGUUCUUCCAAAGCUUCCC
Molecule: long non-coding RNA, 296 nt
Filed under: Mytilus galloprovincialis (Mediterranean mussel)
Lineage: Eukaryota; Metazoa; Mollusca; Bivalvia; Mytilida; Mytilidae
Source: RNAcentral